This 253-nucleotide ribosomal RNA is filed under the name uncultured Lachnospiraceae bacterium. RNAcentral describes it as "partial 16S ribosomal RNA". It matches the Rfam family "Bacterial small subunit ribosomal RNA", at positions 524 to 776 of the family's 1533-position model. The record is from RNAcentral. Lineage: Bacteria; Bacillati; Bacillota; Clostridia; Lachnospirales; Lachnospiraceae.
UACGUAUGGAGCAAGCGUUAUCCGGAUUUACUGGGUGUAAAGGGAGCGCAGGCGGUCUGGCAAGUCUGAUGUGAAAUACCGGGGCUCAACUCCGGGACUGCUUUUGAAACUGUGUGACUGGAGUGCAGGAGAGGUAAGCGGAAUUCCUGGUGUAGCGGUGAAAUGCGUAGAUAUCAGGAGGAACACCAGUGGCGAAGGCGGCUUACUGGACGAUGACUGACGCUGAGGCUCGAAAGCGUGGGGAGCAAACAGG